UGGGGAACCUGCCCCAUAGUCUGGGAUACCACUUGGAAACAGGUGCUAAUACCGGAUAAGAAAGCAGAUCGCAUGAUCAGCUUUUAAAAGGCGGCGUAAGCUGUCGCUAUGGGAUGGCCCCGCGGUGCAUUAGUUAGUUGGUAAGGUAAAGGCUUACCAAGGCGAUGAUGCAUAGCCGAGUUGAGAGACUGAUCGGCCACAUUGGGACUGAGACACGGCCCAAACUCCUACGGGAGGCAGCAGAC
Molecule: ribosomal RNA, 245 nt
Filed under: uncultured Lactobacillus sp.
Lineage: Bacteria; Bacillati; Bacillota; Bacilli; Lactobacillales; Lactobacillaceae
Description: partial 16S ribosomal RNA
Rfam family: Bacterial small subunit ribosomal RNA
Source: RNAcentral